RNAcentral lists this ribosomal RNA (253 nucleotides) under uncultured bacterium. RNAcentral describes it as "partial 16S ribosomal RNA". It matches the Rfam family "Bacterial small subunit ribosomal RNA", at positions 524 to 776 of the family's 1533-position model. The record is from RNAcentral.
UACGUAGGGGGCAAGCGUUGUCCGGAAUUAUUGGGCGUAAAGAGCGCGUAGGCGGUCCGAUAAGUCGGCUGUGAAAGUCAUGGGCUCAACCCAUGAAAGCCGGCCGAUACUGUCGGACUAGAGUUCGGAAGAGGCGAGUGGAAUUCCCGGUGUAGCGGUGAAAUGCGCAGAUAUCGGGAAGAACACCCGUGGCGAAGGCGGCUCUCUGGGACGGUACUGACGCUGAGACGCGAAAGCGUGGGGAGCGAACAGG